Molecule: long non-coding RNA, 1169 nt
Filed under: Citrus sinensis (sweet orange)
Lineage: Eukaryota; Viridiplantae; Streptophyta; Magnoliopsida; Sapindales; Rutaceae
Description: long non-coding RNA (CSIN_LNC004626)
Source: RNAcentral
CCGCAUGGCCAAUAGUCCCACACCCGAAGACGGCUUGUCGUUUGCCAGUUUCUCCGAUGGAUACGACGACGGUUUCAAUUCCAAACAAAUUGAUCCGAGGCGCUACGUCUCGGAGUUCAAGCGUCGUAGCUCCGAAGCCCUAACUGAGCUCAUCACGGGCAGUGAAAACCAGGGUGCUCAACCGUUUACUUGCUUGGUUUACAGUCUACUCCUCCCUUGGACUGCUGAAGUGGCGCGUGCAUAUCAUCUCCCUUCGGCGCUCCUUUGGAUUCAACCAGCCCUCGUUUUCGACGUUUAUUACUAUUAUUUCUAUGGAUAUGGCGAUCUAAUUGAAGAGAAGGUUAAUGAUUUGAUAGAGUUACCGGGACUGCCGCCACUCACCGGCUGUGAUCUUCCUUCUUUCAUGGAUCCCAGAAAGUCAAAUGAUGCUUACUCUUUCAUAUUACCUUAUUUUAAAGAACAAAUGGAGGCAAUUGUCGAAGAAACCGAUCCAAAAAUUCUUGUCAACACGUUCGAUGCAUUAGAGGCUGAGACAUUAAGAGCCAUCGAUAAGUUCAAUAUGAUCGCAAUCGGACCGUUAGUUGCAUCGGCGUUGUUGGACGGAAAAGAGCUGUACGGAGGCGAUCUUUGCAAGAAUAGUUCAAAAGAGUAUUAUAUGGAAUGGCUAAGCUCGAAGCCCAAAUCAUCUGUUAUCUACGUGGCGUUCGGAACCAUAUGCGUUCUGGAGAAGCGUCAAGUGGAGGAAAUUGCACGCGGGUUGUUAGAUAGUGGUCAUCCAUUCUUGUGGGUCAUUAGAGAACACGAAAAUAAAGAUAAAGAUAAAGGUGAAGAUGACGUGGUGAUGAAGUACAAAGAAGAGCUGAAUGAGAAGGGAAUGAUAGUGCCGUGGUGUUCACAAGUGGAGGUUCUGUCACAUGAAGCGGUGGGGUGUUUUGUAACGCACUGUGGGUGGAAUUCGAGCUUAGAAAGCCUGGUAUGUGGCGUGCCUGUGGUGGCAUUUCCUCAAUGGACAGACCAAGGGACAAACGCUAAAAUUAUUGUGGACUUCUGCAAAACUGGAGUGAGAGUGAAGGCUAAUGAAGAAGGGAUUCUAGAAAGUGAUGAGAUUAAGAGGUGUUUGGAGUUGGUGAUGGGAGAAGGAGAUGAAUUUAGAGGAAAUUCUUUGAAAU